GGGAUGGAUCCCGAAGGGACUGACAGUGGGCGAUACAUUCGACUAAAAAAGGCCUGAUGAGGGGGACGUAACAGGGUGUCGCAGCUGCUGGCCCGCCACGUGAUAUUUAAAUCCCUAGCUCACCCCAGUACCUUGCCCUGCCCCGUCGUGGUUUCCUGUUCCUGUUUCCUGAGAGUGCUUUAUCAUUGUGAAUCUGAUUUCCUGGUAUCCUGAAUUCUGGUUUCCCUGACUUGGCUUGUGUAAACGGUAUUGUGUAUUU
Molecule: non-coding RNA, 259 nt
Organism: Pelobates cultripes (western spadefoot toad)
Lineage: Eukaryota; Metazoa; Chordata; Amphibia; Anura; Pelobatidae
Source: the annotation of a GenBank genome assembly